This 240-nucleotide ribosomal RNA is filed under the name uncultured bacterium. RNAcentral's name for it is "partial 16S ribosomal RNA". It matches the Rfam family "Bacterial small subunit ribosomal RNA", at positions 796 to 1041 of the family's 1533-position model. The record is from RNAcentral. RNAcentral also lists the same sequence under 1 other name.
CGCACAGUAAACGAUGAAUACUCGCGGUUGGCGAUACAUUGUCAGCCGCCAAGCGAAAGCGUUAAGUAUUCCACCUGGGGAGUACGCCGGCAACGGUGAAACUCAAAGGAAUUGACGGGGGCCCGCACAAGCGGAGGAACAUGUGGUUUAAUUCGAUGAUACGCGAGGAACCUUACCCGGGCUUGAACUGAGGGGGAAUGAGCCAGAGAUGACUCAGUCUUCGGACUCCCUUGGAGGUGC